GGCAUGCCUAAUACAUGCAAGUCGAACGAGAAAGCACUUCGGUGUGAGUACAGUGGCGCACGGGUGAGUAACGCGUAGAUGACGUGCCAUAUAGUGGGGGACAACAUCGUGAAAACGGUGCUAAUACCGCAUAUGAUAGACGACAUUGAAAAAGUCUAAGAAAGGGGCUUCGGUCUCGCUAUAUGAUCGGUCUGCGUGACAUUAGCUUGAUGGUGGGGUAAUGGCCUACCAUGGCGACGAUGUCUAGCUGGUCUGAGAGGAUGAUCAGUCACACUGGAACUGAGACACGGUCCAGACUCCUACGGGAGGCAGCAGUAGGGAAUAUUGCACAAUGGGGGAAACCCUGAUGCAGCAAUGCCACGUGAGUGAGGAAGGUUUUCGGAUUGUAAAGCUCUGUCCUAUAGGAAGAACUGCUUUGGGUAACGCCAAAGUUUGACGGU
This 440-nucleotide ribosomal RNA is filed under the name uncultured bacterium. RNAcentral's name for it is "bacterial SSU rRNA". It matches the Rfam family "Bacterial small subunit ribosomal RNA", at positions 41 to 476 of the family's 1533-position model. The record is from RNAcentral.